This 498-nucleotide ribosomal RNA is filed under the name uncultured bacterium. Its description in RNAcentral is "partial 16S ribosomal RNA". It matches the Rfam family "Bacterial small subunit ribosomal RNA", at positions 30 to 523 of the family's 1533-position model. The record is from RNAcentral.
AUUGAACGCUGGCGGCAUGCCUUACACAUGCAAGUCGAACGGUAACAGGUCUUCGGAUGCUGACGAGUGGCGAACGGGUGAGUAAUACAUCGGAACGUGCCUAGUAGUGGGGGAUAACUACUCGAAAGAGCGGCUAAUACCGCAUGAGAUCUACGGAUGAAAGCAGGGGAUCGCAAGACCUUGUGCUACUAGAGCGGCCGAUGGCAGAUUAGGUAGUUGGUGGGAUAAAAGCUUACCAAGCCGACGAUCUGUAGCUGGUCUGAGAGGACGAUCAGCCACACUGGGACUGAGACACGGCCCAGACUCCUACGGGAGGCAGCAGUGGGGAAUUUUGGACAAUGGGCGCAAGCCUGAUCCAGCAAUGCCGCGUGCAGGAUGAAGGCCUUCGGGUUGUAAACUGCUUUUGUACGGAACGAAAAGCCCUGGGUUAAUACCCUGGGGUCAUGACGGUACCGUAAGAAUAAGCACCGGUUAACUACGUGCCAGCCGCCGCCGUAA